This 157-nucleotide unclassified non-coding RNA is filed under the name soil metagenome. Its description in RNAcentral is "partial internal transcribed spacer 1". The record is from RNAcentral.
CAGAGUUGCAAGACUCCCUAAACCAUUGUGAACCUACCUUCUACCGUUGCUUCGGCGGGCGGGCCCAGCGCCCCCCCGGCCCCCCGCGGGCGCCCGCUGAGGAUACCCAAACUCUGACAUUAGUGGCCUCUCUGAGUAUUCUUUACUGAAUAAGUCA